RNAcentral lists this ribosomal RNA (474 nucleotides) under uncultured bacterium. RNAcentral's name for it is "SSU rRNA". It matches the Rfam family "Bacterial small subunit ribosomal RNA", at positions 26 to 518 of the family's 1533-position model. The record is from RNAcentral.
AGGACGAACGCUGGCGGCGUGCUUAACACAUGCAAGUCGAGCGGAAAGGCCCUUCGGGGUACUCGAGCGGCGAACGGGUGAGUAACACGUGAGUAAUCUGCCCCUAGCUCUGGGAUAGCUCCGGGAAACCGGGAUUAAUACCGGAUACGACCACCUUAGACAUCUUUUGUGGUGGAAAGAAUUUCGGCUAGGGAUGAGCUCGCGGCCUAUCAGCUUGUUGGUGGGGUAACGGCCUACCAAGGCGACGACGGGUAGCCGGCCUGAGAGGGCGACCGGCCACGACUGGGACUGAGACACGGCCCAGACUCCUACGGGAGGCAGCAGUGGGGAAUAUUGCGCAAUGGGCGAAAGCCUGACGCAGCGACGCCGCGUGGGGGAUGAAGGCCUUCGGGUUGUAACCCCUUUCAGCAGGGACGAAGCGAAAGUGACGGUACCUGCAGAAGAAGCGCCGGCUAACUACGUGCCAGCAGCCGC